This 288-nucleotide ribosomal RNA is filed under the name uncultured bacterium. Its description in RNAcentral is "partial 16S ribosomal RNA". It matches the Rfam family "Bacterial small subunit ribosomal RNA", at positions 773 to 1060 of the family's 1533-position model. The record is from RNAcentral.
GUGGAUUAGAUACCCUAGUAGUCCACGCCGUAAACGAUGUCUACUAGCCGUUGGGUUCCUUGAGGACUUAGUGGCGCAGCUAACGCAAUAAGUAGACCGCCUGGGGAGUACGGUCGCAAGAUUAAAACUCAAAUGAAUUGACGGGGGCCCGCACAAGCGGUGGAGCAUGUGGUUUAAUUCGACGCAACGCGAAGAACCUUACCAGGUCUUGACAUCCAGAGAACUUUCCAGAGAUGGAUUGGUGCCUUCGGGAGCUCUGAGACAGGUGCUGCACGGCUGUCGCCAGCU